CAAACACACACACACACACACACGCACACAGACACACACACACACCUGAUCAAGUGCCGUGGGAUAAGUCAAGUACCACUUACGUCGUUGGACCGCUACAUGAAGUUAUGCUUUCGCCCUUCGCUAGUGUCCUGGCACUGUGCUGGCGUUGUGUGACCCGCCGAGUGUCUGUCACACGGCCCUUGUUCUUGCUGGUCCUCCUAUCAAAUAUCUGUCUAAGCGAGAAAAUACAUCUGCCAAUACAGUCUUGUUGACAUGGAUUGUUUGUGUCCUCUUCAGGGAUGUAGUUUCGUGACGUCAAUUAAAAGGAUGUUUAUGGGGAUUGAUCUUCUUUUCUCUUCGGAUUACUGUUCUCAUCAAGGUCUGACAAUCGUAAUGGAUAUAUUAAUUAAUGGAUUAACCAAGCUCUGAAUUAAAGCAAAAAACAAAAAAAAAAAGGAAA
Molecule: long non-coding RNA, 442 nt
Organism: Aplysia californica (California sea hare)
Lineage: Eukaryota; Metazoa; Mollusca; Gastropoda; Aplysiida; Aplysiidae
Exons: 2
Source: RefSeq, a predicted model, not a curated record